ACGGGUGAGUAACGCGUGGUCAACCUACCGUUGAGUGGGGGAGUAACUAGCCGAAAGGUUAGCUAAUACCGCAUACGUGUCCGAGGGGCAUCCCUUGGCCAUAAAAGGAGCAAUCCGCUCGAUGACGGGACCGCGUCCCAUUAGCUAGAUGGUGGGGUAACGGGCCUACCAUGGCACCGAUGGGUAGCUGGUUUGAGAGAGCGACCAGCCACACUGGGACUGAGAAACGGCCCAG
RNAcentral lists this ribosomal RNA (235 nucleotides) under uncultured bacterium. RNAcentral's name for it is "partial 16S ribosomal RNA". It matches the Rfam family "Bacterial small subunit ribosomal RNA", at positions 102 to 334 of the family's 1533-position model. The record is from RNAcentral.